Molecule: ribosomal RNA, 492 nt
Filed under: uncultured bacterium
Lineage: Bacteria
Description: partial 16S ribosomal RNA
Rfam family: Bacterial small subunit ribosomal RNA
Source: RNAcentral
AGUGAACGCUGGCGGUAGGCCUAACACAUGCAAGUCGAACGGCAGCACAGUAAGAGCUUGCUCUUACGGGUGGCGAGUGGCGGACGGGUGAGGAAUACAUCGGAAUCUACUUUUUCGUGGGGGAUAACGUAGGGAAACUUACGCUAAUACCGCAUACGACCUACGGGUUAAAGCAGGGGAUCUUCGGACCUUGCGCGAUUGAAUGAGCCGAUGUCGGAUUAGCUAGUUGGCGGGGUAAAGGCCCACCAAGGCGACGAUCCGUAGCUGGUCUGAGAGGAUGAGCGGCCACACUGGAACUGAGACACGGUCCAGACUCCUACGGGAGGCAGCAGUGGGGAAUAUUGGACAAUGGGCGCAAGCCUGAUCCAGCCAUACCGCGUGGGUGAAGAAGGCCUUCGGGUUGUAAAGCCCUUUUGUUGGGAAAGAAAAGCAGCAGGUUAAUACCCCGCUGUUCUGACGGUACCCAAAGAAUAAGCACCGGCUAACUUCGUG